Molecule: ribosomal RNA, 501 nt
Filed under: uncultured bacterium
Lineage: Bacteria
Description: bacterial SSU rRNA
Rfam family: Bacterial small subunit ribosomal RNA
Source: RNAcentral
GAUGAACGCUAGCGGCAGGCCUAAUACAUGCAAGACGAACGGUAAGUUGAGUAGCAAUACUUAGCCAAGAGUGUCGUACGGGUGCGUAACACGUAUGCAACCUACCCUAUACAGGAGGAUAGCCUAGGGAAACCUGGAUUAACCCUUCAUAGUAUUAUUGGAUGGCAUCAUUUGAUAAUUAAAACUGAGGUGGUAUAGGAUGGGCAUGCGUCUGAUUAGUUAGUUGGCGGGGUAAUGGCCCACCAAGACGAUGAUCAGUAGGGGUUCUGAGAGGAAGAUCCCCCACACUGGCACUGAGAUACGGGCCAGACUCCUACGGGAGGCAGCAGUAGGGAAUAUUGGUCAAUGGAUGCAAGUCUGAACCAGCCAUGCCGCGUGCAGGAAGAAGGCCUUCUGGGUUGUAAAACUGCUUUUAUACAAGAGAAAACCCUGGUACGUGUACCAGGUUGAUAGUAUUGUAAGAAUAAGCAUCGGCUAACUUCGUGCCAGCAGCCGCGGUAA